Long non-coding RNA from Leopardus geoffroyi (Geoffroy's cat), 445 nucleotides. RefSeq lists it as uncharacterized. The transcript has 3 exons. The record is from RefSeq and is a predicted model, not a curated record. NCBI's taxonomy places the organism in Eukaryota, Metazoa, Chordata, Mammalia, Carnivora, Felidae.
CGAUACCAGUCAUAGGUGGGUAAUUGGGAACUUAAAAGUUGGCAAAUGUGACUAAGAGGCAGGCCAUGUUGACAACUGAGAGAUGGGAUUGGUGGAGGCGGGCAAACACAUUUGAACCAAAUCAAAGUAUGGCACCACACACAGGAUAAAAAGAAAAGAAAGCAGAUCCUGCCUCCUUAAGAACUACAUGAUCAGAAGGCGUCCUCAUGGAAAGGAGUCAGAGCCAGAGAAAGAUCUAUAAUGACAGAAAAAGAGGUUGAAUUAUCACUGGGCCAGAAGCCAAGGAAUACUGGCAGACUCUAGAAACUAAGAAAGGUGGGGGAGGGUUCUCUCCUAGAACCUCCAAAGGAUCUCAGCACUGCUGACACCGUAAUUUUAGCCCACUGAGACUGAUUUUUGAACUGACCUCCCGAACUAUAAGAUAAUAAAUCUGUGCCGUGUUACA